GGGAGUGAAAUAGAACCUGAAACCCUGCACUUACAAGCUGUGGAAGCACAUUUCUUGUGUGACCGCGUACUUUUUGUAGAACGGGCCAACGAGUUACGUUAAGUAGCAAGGUUAAGCACUUAAGGUGCGGAGCCGUAGCGAAAGCGAGUUUUAACUGAGCGUUCAGUUACUUGACGUAGACCCGAAACCGGGCGACCUACCCAUGAGCAGGAUGAAGCGAAAGUAAAAUUUCGUGGAGGUCCGAACCCACGAGCGUUGAAAAGCUCGGGGAUGACUUGUGGGUAGCGGUGAAAUUCCAAUCGAGCCCGGAGAUAGCUGGUUCUCCCCGAAAUAGCUUUAGGGCUAGCCUCAAGGUGAGAGAUACGGAGGUAGAGCACUG
This 379-nucleotide ribosomal RNA is filed under the name Clostridioides difficile. Its description in RNAcentral is "partial 23S ribosomal RNA". It matches the Rfam family "Bacterial large subunit ribosomal RNA", at positions 534 to 912 of the family's 2925-position model. Lineage: Bacteria; Bacillati; Bacillota; Clostridia; Peptostreptococcales; Peptostreptococcaceae. The record is from RNAcentral.